This 465-nucleotide ribosomal RNA is filed under the name uncultured bacterium. Its description in RNAcentral is "partial 16S ribosomal RNA". It matches the Rfam family "Bacterial small subunit ribosomal RNA", at positions 28 to 507 of the family's 1533-position model. The record is from RNAcentral.
GACGAACGCUGGCGGCGUGCUUAACACAUGCAAGUCGAACGGAAAGGCCCUUCUGGGGGUACUUGCGCGGCGAACGGGCGAGUAACACGCGAGUAACCUGCCUUCGCCUUCGGGUUAAAUUCAGGAAACUGGGGCUAACACAGGACAGGAAUCCUCGCCGCAUGGUGGGGGUUGGAAAGCUUCGGCGGUUUUGGAUGGACUCGCGGCUUACCAGUUUGCUGGUGGGGUAGUGGCUUACCAAGGCUUUGACGGGUAGCCGGCCUGCGGGGGCGACCGGCCGCAUUGGGACUGGGAUACGGCCCAGACUCCUACGGGGGGCAACAGUGGGGGAUAUUGCACAAUGGGCGGAAACCUGAAGCAGGAACGCCGGGUGCGGGAUGGCGGCCUUCGGGUUGUAAACCGCUUUCAGCAGGUGCGGAACUUGUAGUGACGGUACCUGCAAAAGAAGCACCGGCUAACUACGUG